This 3412-nucleotide small RNA is filed under the name Pongo abelii (Sumatran orangutan). RNAcentral's name for it is "processed transcript". Lineage: Eukaryota; Metazoa; Chordata; Mammalia; Primates; Hominidae. The record is from RNAcentral.
CUGAGCGCCCUCCGCUCGCCCCGAGAGAGACCCGGCCAUGCAGGAGCCGCUGCUGGGAGCCGAGGGCCCGGACUACGACACCUUCCCCGAGAAGCCGCCCCCGUUGCCAGGGGACAGGGCGCGGGUCGGGUGAGAGUCGCUAGGUUGGGGGCUGCGGGUGGGGCCUGGGGGUGGCCCUGGUUCCCUCCAGCCGGCGGCAUGCUCCCGCCCUGGGCCUCCCCUGACCUAGUCGUCACCGAGGGGUCAUCUGGCUCCCUCCUGUCCCAGACACGCUACUCCUAUUUAAGGAACGGGCCCCCCUAAGGGAAGGAACGAUCCACGGGAGUACCGGGCCCAGCCCCCCACUGCCACAGACAGUGAGACUGAGGCCCCAGCGAGCAAGGGGUCUGCCUGAGGUCACACAGCAAGCCUCCAGCCGCCGCCCUGGGGGCAGAACCAGAGCCUCCUCUUCCGGAGAAAAGGCCCCAGCACCAGAGGCUCAGCCACUGCGAUGAGCUAACAAUGGCCUGGGAAUUUCCCAGGGGAGCUGGGGCUCAGGCCCUGGGAACCUGAAUGGCCUUGGACCCAGGCCUCCCCAGCACUGCCCGCUGAGCUGGGCAGCCACUGGGUUCAGAAAAGGCAAUGGUCCCUGAAGGAGGGACUCAGAGACCCUGGUCUUUUUGUCCACCACCAUCACCAGGACCCUGCAGAACAAAAGGGUGUUCCUGGCCACCUUCGCCGCAGUGCUCGGCAAUUUCAGCUUUGGGUAUGCCCUGGUCUACACAUCCCCUGUCAUCCCAGCCCUGGAGCGCUCCUUGGAUCCUGACCUGCAUCUGACCAAAUCCCAGGCAUCCUGGUUCGGGUCCGUGUUCACCCUGGGAGCAGCGGCCGGAGGCCUGAGCGCCAUGAUCCUCAACGACCUCCUGGGCCGGAAGCUGAGCAUCAUGUUCUCAGCUGUGCCGUCGGCGGCCGGCUAUGCGCUCAUGGCGGGUGCGCACGGCCUCUGGAUGCUGCUGCUGGGAAGGACGCUGACGGGCUUUGCCGGGGGGCUCACAGCUGCCUGCAUCCCGGUGUACGUGUCUGAGAUUGCUCCCCCAGGCGUUCGUGGGGCUCUGGGGGCCACACCCCAGCUCAUGGCAGUGUUUGGAUCCCUGUCCCUCUACGCCCUUGGCCUCCUGCUGCCAUGGCGCUGGCUGGCUGUGGCCGGGGAGGCGCCUGUGCUCGUCAUGAUCCUGCUGCUCAGCUUCAUGCCCAACUCGCCGCGCUUCCUGCUCUCUCGGGGCAGGGACGAAGAGGCCCUGCGGGCGCUGGCCUGGCUGCGUGGGACGGACGCCGAUGUCCACUGGGAGUUCGAGCAGAUCCAGGACAACGUCCGGAGACAGAGCAGCCGAGUGUCGUGGGCUGAGGCACGGGCCCCCCACAUGUGCCGGCCCAUCGCCGUGGCCUUGCUGAUGCGCCUCCUGCAGCAGCUGACGGGCAUCACGCCCAUCCUGGUCUAUCUGCAGUCCAUCUUCGACAGCACCGCUGUCCUGCUGCCCCCCAAGGACGACGCAGCCAUCGUUGGGGCCGUGCGGCUCCUGUCCGUGCUGAUCGCCGCCCUCACCAUGGACCUCGCAGGCCGCAAGAUGCUGCUCUUCGUCUCAGGUAAGCACCCUGCAGGCAGCCCUCCUGCCCCACUCCUCCACAGGGGUCGGGGCUGGGCUGGGUGUGCAGGCCUGCCUCGGGGUGGGGCUGUGUGGCUGGGAACUGCAGAGCACCUGCCUCCCUAGCAUCAGCAGGGCCCCAGCCCAAGCCAGUGGCUCCAGAAAGGUCCGCUGGGGCUCCGAGUGGACACACUGGCUGUGACACUCCACGGUGGGAGCCUGACACGCGGCUGGAGACAGAGCUUGCUGCCCUGCUGGGGGUCUCUAGUCCCAGACACGAGCUGGACCACGCAAGUAUCAAGGGGCUCUGCAGAAGGAGCUCUGAGAGAAACAGCUGGCUCAGAGGGUCCUGGCCCCACGAGGCCACCUGUCUGUCCACAGCGGCCAUCAUGUUUGCUGCCAACCUGACUCUGGGGCUGUACAUCCACUUUGGCCCCAGGCCUCUGAGCCCCAACAGCACUGCGGGCCUGGAAAGUGAGUCCUGGGGGGACUUGGCGCAGCCCGUGGCAGCACCCGCUGGCUACCUCACCCUGGUGCCCCUGCUGGCCACCAUGCUCUUCAUCAUGGGCUACGCCAUGGGCUGGGGCCCCAUCACCUGGCUGCUCAUGUCUGAGGUCCUGCCCCUGCGUGCCCGUGGCGUGGCGUCAGGGCUCUGCGUGCUGGCCAGCUGGCUCACCGCCUUCGUCCUCACCAAGUCCUUCCUGCCAGUGGUGAGCACCUUCGGCCUCCAGGUGCCUUUCUUCUUCUUCGCGGCCAUCUGCUUGGUGAGCCUGGUGUUCACAGGCUGCUGUGUGCCCGAGACCAAGGGACGGUCCCUGGAGCAGAUCGAGUCCUUCUUCCGCACGGGGAGAAGGUCCUUCUUGCGCUAGGUCAGGGUCCCCGCCCGGAGGGGGCCAAACCCCCAGUGGCUGGGCCUCCGUGUUGGCUAUAAACCUGCACCCUGGGACCAAGAGGCAGCAGUCAUCCCUGCCACCAGCCAGAGCACAGGAAGAGCAGUGUGAUGGGGACACAGCAGCAGGUGCCCCUGGCUCCAGACAGGUAGCACUGCUGUCCAGCUGCAGCCCCAGCCCAGGCAGCCCGCAGUGCUACACAUAGCCAUGGGCCGCAGGAGCGCAUACAACCGUGCGUCCAGGGACACGGCCCUGCUGGGUGACCUCAGGCCUAGUCCCUUACUCUUGCGUGAAGGACACGCCCCACAGAAGGCUACGGGGAGGACUGAGAGGACAGGGCUGGAGGCAGCCAAGUAACAUAGUCAUAUCAUCGCGCUCUGAUCUGGUGGCAUCUGGCUGUGCAAGGAAGACACGGCUCUGCCCCCACAAGUCUUAUGGGCACCACAGGGAACAUCCUGGACUUAAAAAGCCAGGGCAGGCCGGGCACAGUGGCUCACGCCUGUAAUCCCAGCACUUUGGGAGGCGGAAGCAGGUGGAUUACCCGAGGCCAGGAGUUCAAGACCAGCCUGGCCAACAUGGUGAAACCCCGUCUUUACUAAAAAAUACAAAAAAGCUGGGUGUGGUGGCACACACCUGUAGUUCCAGCUACUUGGGAGGCUGAGGCAGAAUUGCUUGAACCCGGGAGGUGGAGGCUGCAAUGAGCUGAGAUCAUGCCAUUGCACUCCAGCCUGGGCAACGAGAGUGAAACUCCGUCCCCACCCCCUGCCAAAAAAAAAAAAAGCCAGGGCAAAGGACCUGGCGUCGCCACUUCCUCCUGCCCCACCCCAACCUCUGGGAACAGGCAGCUCCUAUCUGCAAACUGUGUUCACCCUUUUAUAAAAAUAAAGGAACUGGACCUGU